This 468-nucleotide ribosomal RNA is filed under the name uncultured bacterium. RNAcentral's name for it is "partial 16S ribosomal RNA". It matches the Rfam family "Bacterial small subunit ribosomal RNA", at positions 28 to 507 of the family's 1533-position model. The record is from RNAcentral.
GACGAGCGCUGGCGGCGUGCUUAACACAUGCAAGUCGAACGGAAAGGCCCUGCUUUUGUGGGGUGCUCGAGUGGCGAACGGGUGAGUAACACGUGAGUAACCUGCCCUUGACUUUGGGAUAACUUCAGGAAACUGGGGCUAAUACCGGAUAGGAGCUCCUGCGGCAUGGUGGGGGUUGGAAAGUUUCGGCGGUUGGGGAUGGACUCGCGGCUUAUCAGCUUGUUGGUGGGGUAGUGGCUUACCAAGGCUUUGACGGGUAGCCGGCCUGAGAGGGUGACCGGCCACAUUGGGACUGAGAUACGGCCCAGACUCCUACGGGAGGCAGCAGUGGGGAAUAUUGCACAAUGGGCGGAAGCCUGAUGCAGCAACGCCGCGUGCGGGAUGACGGCCUUCGGGUUGUAAACCGCUUUCGCCUGUGACGAAGCGUGAGUGACGGUAAUGGGUAAAGAAGCACCGGCUAACUACGUG